GCACUCACUUCAGCAGCACACAUUCUAAAACUGGAACAAUACAGAAAAGACUAGCAUGGCCUCUGCGCAAGAUGACAUGCAAAUUUGUGAAGCGUUCCAUAUUUUU
This is a small nuclear RNA of Pristis pectinata (smalltooth sawfish), 106 nucleotides long. NCBI's taxonomy places the organism in Eukaryota, Metazoa, Chordata, Chondrichthyes, Rhinopristiformes, Pristidae. The record is from RefSeq and is a predicted model, not a curated record.